AGGAGAAAAAGACAAGUAACACUUGUUUGCUAACUUUCAUGUUAGAAAUUAGGACAAUGAGAAAUGAAUAGUAGGUAAAAAAGAAUUACAACUUAAAAA
This 99-nucleotide unclassified non-coding RNA is filed under the name chlamydia-associated clinical sample 640-G. Its description in RNAcentral is "intergenic spacer region". The record is from RNAcentral.